GACGAACGCUGGCGGCGUGCUUAACACAUGCAAGUCGAACGGAAAGGCCCUUCGGGGUACUCGAGUGGCGAACGGGUGAGUAACACGUGGGUGAUCUGCCCUGCACUUUGGGAUAAGCCUGGGAAACUGGGUCUAAUACCGAAUAGGACCACGCGCUUCAUGGCGUGUGGUGGAAAGCUUUUGCGGUGUGGGAUGGGCCCGCGGCCUAUCAGCUUGUUGGUGGGGUAAUGGCCUACCAAGGCGACGACGGGUAGCCGGUCUGAGAGGGUGACCGGCCACACUGGGACUGAGAUACGGCCCAGACUCCUACGGGAGGCAGCAGUGGGGAAUAUUGCACAAUGGGCGCAAGCCUGAUGCAGCGACGCCGCGUGAGGGAUGACGGCCUUCGGGUUGUAAACCUCUUUCAAUAGGGACGAAGCGCAAGUGACGGUACCUAUAGAAGAAGCACCGGCCAACUACGUG
This 462-nucleotide ribosomal RNA is filed under the name uncultured bacterium. Its description in RNAcentral is "partial 16S ribosomal RNA". It matches the Rfam family "Bacterial small subunit ribosomal RNA", at positions 28 to 507 of the family's 1533-position model. The record is from RNAcentral.